AAGAAAGGGAAGAGGGUGAAGUAUCUGGUUGCUGGCAACUGAAUUUGAGGAUGCCUUCAUUCGAAACAAUAAUUCGAAACCUUUUGAUUGGAGCAAUGUACAUAGGUGGAAUUUAUGUUGGUAUUUCAGUCGGCCUAGAGGCAAGUAAUUAUGUGGCGUACAGACGGGAAAGG
Camellia sinensis is the source of this 173-nucleotide non-coding RNA. Lineage: Eukaryota; Viridiplantae; Streptophyta; Magnoliopsida; Ericales; Theaceae. The record is from RefSeq and is a predicted model, not a curated record.